ACGAACGCUGGCGGCGUGCCUAACACAUGCAAGUCGAGCGAUGAAAUCCUUCGGGAUGGAUUAGCGGCGGACGGGUGAGUAACACGUGGGUAACCUGCCUCAAAGAGGGGAAUAGCCUUCCGAAAGGAAGAUUAAUACCGCAUAAUAUGUUUUGGUCGCAUGACUGAAACAUCAAAGGAGCAAUCCGCUUUGAGAUGGACCCGCGGCGCAUUAGCUAGUUGGUGAGGUAACGGCUCACCAAGGCGACGAUGCGUAGCCGACCUGAGAGGGUGAUCGGCCACAUUGGAACUGAGACACGGUCCAGACUCCUACGGGAGGCAGCAGUGGGGAAUAUUGCGCAAUGGGGGAAACACUGACGCAGCAACGCCGCGUGAAUGAUGAAGGCCUUCGGGUUGUAAAGUUCUGUCUUCUGGGACGAUAAUGACGGUACCAGAGGAGGAAGCCACGGCUAACUACGU
This 458-nucleotide ribosomal RNA is filed under the name uncultured bacterium. RNAcentral describes it as "bacterial SSU rRNA". It matches the Rfam family "Bacterial small subunit ribosomal RNA", at positions 29 to 506 of the family's 1533-position model. The record is from RNAcentral.